GGAUUCUACUUUACACAAAGUCGAGAGAGAGCCCACCUCUCUUCUGCUCAGAUUUUAAGUGACUCAGCCUAUCAGGCAAGACCCUGCAGACUAUUUCAGGCAUUUCUAUUCACUAUUGGGCUUGCCUGCCUAAAGAAUCCAAAGAAUACCACCCUUACUUUGUAUUUUUUAAGGUCACUGAGAAACAUGCAUAAAAUACAAGUGACCAUCCUAAAUACAAGAGAAAAAAGGAUUCCUUUCCAUGGGCCACGUGGCUCCCAGUUUUCCCGUCCUCUGUAUUUAAAGUUAGCAAAGCCAAAGGUUGUUAAGGAAGAAGGCUGGUUUCUACUUUAGAAAGACUGGAUUUGAUGAAUUUGAGAUGAGAUAAAAAGACAUUUCUCAGUCAUUUUCCUAAAAAUGUAGCCCUGGGGUUGACCUUCUCCCUCCAGUGACAGCAUUUUAUAAAAUGAAGCAAGACUGCUGGCUUGGGGCCAGGAAGAGGGCUGUAGGGGGUGUCUGCUGCUGUAGGUGCCCCAGCACAUGAUGUGCAGUCACAGCCCCACUCCCACAUCUGCCUGUUUAUGUAAAUAAAAUUUUCCUGGAACACACCCAGGCCCACCUGUUCAUUGUCUAUGGCUAUUUUCAACAAGAAUUGAGUACUUGGCGACAAAGAUCAGGUGGCCUAAAAAGUUUAGAGUGUUGCCAUCUAGCCCUUGACAGAAGUUUUCUAACUCCUGCCUGAGGAGUUAGAAAUUGCUUCCUUAUGAUGUAAUCUCUGAUGUCCAGCUACCCGACUGGCCACUGAUCAGCAUGAGGUCCCUUGUGAUUUCUCUAGACUGGCUCACUAGGACCCACCUGCUGAGAAGGGUGGUGGCAUGCACCCAUCCCUCUGGCUCCUUCAGGGCCCAAGUCUCAUGGGAGUGGCUCCAGGAAAGGACCAUGCAUAUACAUGGGCAGGUAUCUCUCUCAACUGCUGAGGGAGUCAGUAUUAUCACCAUCUAUAAAUGAAGCUCAGUUAACAGGUGGCCACAGUCAAGCAGCUGGAGUGCCUGGAGGCGGUCCCAAGCUCCACUCCUUUCCCCCUUGCUUCCCAUCUCUGGCAAGGGUGUUUAGAAUCCUCCAAGUGGAUUUGCUAGAGGCAAAAAGCAAAAACCAAGGUGUAGUGACAGUGUUAGCUAGAGUGGCUCCAAUAGGUGCUGAGAGAUGAGCCACUGCCAUUCCCAAAGCUCAGACCCCAAGCAGCAAGCAGAGCAGCGCAGCAGCAUUUGAAUGAGCUAACAUGGGUGUCCUGUGGGAUCCUGUCCUCCUACCUGUUUAUGAAUCUUUUCCCUUUGGACAAUUCUAAGGUAAAAGCCAUCAGUGAAUGGCAGGUAAGUUCAACUCCUAGAGCUGUUUCAUUAUCAAAACUCGUUUAAGCAAAUUUCAGUUUUAUUCCAACACCCUCAAACCUGUUCUGCUAUGAGACCCUCACUUAAUUCCAAUCUUAUUCUGCCAUCAUUUGUAGCCAAAACACUUCAGGCAAGCUAGAAUACGAAAAAUCAUCAUGCUCUCAACCAGUGGCAUGCAUUACUAUUGCAGAAGAGAAUCUAAUAGAUGUCUUACUUGGGAAAAGAAUCCUGGGUCAGGGAAUCCUCUACUCCUGGUGACUAAGACCUCAAACAAUCUUACAGAGCUGAACCAGGAAAUGGAACAGAAUAAUCAGAAGUGAAGAAUGGAAAGUUUGCAAUAUAAGAAAAUGGAAGAAGUUCAAGAAGGAAAUUGGCAAACCAUAAGUUUGCAGAGGAAUGUUGUGGGAGGGAAGCCUAAGAAAUUAUUUCUUAAGAAUGAUUGGGGGUAAUAACUUGGAUGGUUUUCCUAAAAGCUACCUGUCCAACAACAUAAUUCCUUCCUACAGAUUUUUGCUUCCCAGUGUUUUACAGGAAUGUCUGUCAAUCAGAAAUAUAAAAAUUGAGUGUCAGCCCCUUGCUUCUCUGAUCUUUGCUGAGUGUAGACCAAGGAAAAUACACCUUCCCUAUUAGGCAGCUAGAAAGCUGCCUGGAGGACAGGAUCCCACAGGACUCCCAUGUUAGCUCACUCAAAUGCUGCUGCGCUGCUCUGCUUGCUGCUUGGGGUCUGAGCUUUGGGAAUGGCAGUGGCUCAUCUCUCAGCACCUAUUGGAGCCACUCUAGCUAACACUGUCACUACACCUUGGUUUUUGCUUUUUGCCUCUAGCAAAUCCACUUGGAGGAUUCUAAACACCCUUGCCAGAGAUGGGAAGCAAGGGGGAAAGGAGUGGAGCUUGGGACCGCCUCCAGGCACUCCAGCUGCUUGACUGUGGCCACCUGUUAACUGAGCUUCAUUUAUAGAUGGUGAUAAUACUGACUCCCUCAGCAGUUGAGAGACAGAUACCUGCAAGAUCUUCUCUCAUCCUUGGCAGUUUUUCAGGGACAUGUGCAAUCUGUCAACUGGGCUUCUCCUGGGAAGGGGGAUGAGAUCUCAUUGUUCCCUUUCAUUCAGGACAGGGGUUCUUGCUGAAGUGUCCAGAGAUGAGCAGGAACAGGGAAUGGAAUGAGUGGAAGUGGGAAGGAAAGAGAAGAAAGAAGCACAGAUUGAUUCCUGCAGCCUCUGAAACGCUCCCUCUGGGACUGAUUUCUGAAAAUGUUUUUGGACAGAAAGAAAUCUGGAUGCAGACUCUGUUGUCUCAGGCAAGGACCCAUGUGUUUGUUGGGAGGGGGAGAGCUGGGAUGGAGCCAAGGAUCCUGUGCACGUGAGGUAAGUGCUCUACCACUGAGCAAACCCCAGCCCACAUUUUGGCUUCCACUCUUGCCUCUGGACCCAGACCAGACUUACCCCAUGAGGCACUGGGCCUUCUGCUCUCAUUGCCAUUCUCAACCCAUCCAGAACUUUUUUGGUGUUUCUUUUUGCUGGCUGCUGCUGACCAGAGAGAAUUAUAGGCAUCAACAAUCCCUAGACUCUACUGUCUAAACUGUGCUAUCCUAGGAGAGUAUAGUUUGUCAGACUGUCUAGAGCCAUGCGAGUGGUUGGGGGAGAUUCAAGAGUCAGGGAUUCUCCAUAGUUUUGGCUUCCUGAGCUUCUAGAGCCAAGAAUGCCUUUUCAAUAUUAUAUACCUCUACCUGUGUUCCUUGGGACUACAGUGUCCUGUGAAAUAUUACCAAACAUUUGUUGAAACACCGUGAGCAGGUAAGACUGAAAACUACCCAAAUGAAUGGAGUUCAACCAGCUUAUUCUGUGCAGAACUUGAUGGGGCCUUUAGUGCACAUACAAGUUGUGCCCCCAGUAUUCAGGGACCCUGAAUCCAACUGAUCACAGUUUUCUGUUAUUUUGCCCACUUCUAUUUGCCUCUGCCUUGAUGAGCUUCAGCAAUGAAGAUAUCCCUCCCUUCUUUCUCAUCCAGCCUUUAAGAAAACCACCCUGCCCCUCCCAUCAUUCCUGUACAUCAGUGGAACAACACGGCUUCCGGCCCAGGACCCUUUACCAGGUCUCUGCCUCGGGCACGAGUUCACUUGUGAGUGGUAUAAAUGACUACAUAAUCCAGGGCCAGGCCAUGACUCCCUCUCAACAAGCUGUCAUUUCUAUCCCACAGUGCAGAGGUCCUGAAAUCCUUGUGUGUGGACUUGCAGAGCCACCCCGUGACACUCUUAUUGUCUGAUACUCCUUUACUCUUGCUGUCUGAUGCCCCUUUCCUGCUGUAGGUGCCUGGGGAACAUGGACACAUCUGAAUGCAUGGCACUCACCCCAUCUCACACCCCAACCCUCAGAAGCUCCCAGCUUAAUGCAAGACUUUCCUCUACAAAAUAAUGGACCGUUCACUGGGCUAGCCUCCACUGGACUCAAGGCCCAGUGGGCCUCCCCAUGGUGGCAUCUCCAGCAUUUUCCACAGUGCUGGGUGUUUCCAGGUUUUCACACACCUGCUUCUUGAUUUGCUGAUUCAAGGCCCAGGACACUCAGGCCAGGUGGUGACUAGAGGGUGAGGUGCCUCUAGGAUGAGACCACUGGGUCCAGGCCUCCCUGAUUCUUGUGCUCUUGGCUUCUUUCCUUAGUAUCCAUGGUGUUUGGUAUUAGCCCAGUUACAAUAUUUUUCUUUUCCCAUGGGCAUAUAUUGUUUUAUAUUUAGCCUUCUCUAACCCUAAUAUAACUUAUAUGUCUUCUAAUUACCAUCAUUUUUUAAAAUCUGUCUUUCAAUCAGAGCAUUAGUCCAUUUAUAUAUAACAAUAUUUACUAUAUGAGUUAAAUCUACUAUCUUAUCAUUUGCUGUCCAUUUACCCCACCUGUUUUAUGUCUCUUUCUCUCCCCUCUUAUCUUCUUUAAUUAGUAUUUUAUUACUCCAUUUCCCCCCAUUAUGUCGUUGUUAAUAAAUUCUUUACUACCCAUUUAGUGAUUAUCUGAACAAUUACAUCAUUUGACCCUGAAUUGUUAUUGAUGUUUAAUAUAAAUUAUUACUCCUACCAGCUUCCAGACAGUGAAAAGGAGCUAGACCAUUUUAAUUCUGCCUAACCCGCUUCUGACUUACAUACAACUGUUAUCACCUAUAAGUAAUAUGACAAGGCAUAUUACUAAUAUCCCAUGUGGCUAAUAUCCAUUUAAACUUGUUUAUGUCAACUCACAUUUCCAUUGCCCCUUGGUCCUUCCUGCCAACUGGGAUAAUUUUCUCUCAGUCGGAAAAACAAUGUUCAGUAUUUUCUUUGGUACAAGUCUACUGGUAAAGAAUUCUCUCAGUUUUCUUGUCUUUACUGUCUUUGUUUUGCUUUCAUUUUUUUUAACUAGAAAUUUUCAAGCAUUCAGAAGCAGGGGAAAUAAUGUAACUGACUUCUAAAUACUUGUCACCAGUAAGCAAUCAUCUCACCUCCAUGUGUUAAAGAUAUUUUCAGUGGGUAAUCGAGGUUGACAAUUAUUUUCUUUCAACACUUUGAAGACAUUCCAUUGUCUUCCAGCUUCUGCUAUUUCUAUAGAGAAGUCAGCUGUCAGUUUAAUGGAUUCUCCUGUAAGUAGACCUAAUCAAUCAUUUUGGAUCAUUUGAUCAAUCAUGUCUGGUGUUUUAUACACUGUGAGGCUCUGAAUCCUCCAGAGAGGACUGAUUUAUGUCUAUUGCAGGCAGCUAAACAAACCAGAUGCAUUAGCAACUCCAGGUUACCCUGAUGCAAUUGGGAACAGAGAUGAUUCAAAACUAGGCUUCCUUCCUUACAAGGUUUGGUCUUUUUCUGAUGCACUAUUAUUUUUCAAGUAUAGCCCUUUGGGGUGCCCUAGCCCUUUUGUCUACAGAAGGCUCCACUUAGGUUCUCAGCCUCUCCUUCAGUAGUUUUAAACCAAAGAAAACACAUCUGGGCGCUUCUUGAAGAAGAAGCUAAGACUGAGGAAGCCCUGGUGUCCUCCUACCCGGGCUAGACUGCUCCGUGCUCUGCUGGAGCUGCCAUGUGAGUGCUCUCCUCUGGUUCGUGGCAGAGAGCAAGGCCUCUACAGAUCUUCCACAGGUCUCAUGGCGCUUCUCCACUGAUGAGCAAAGUAACAAUCACACUGUAUAACUGAGAACUGGUGACAACCCAUGACACUGAGGCCCACAGCUUUUUAUCCCUACACGUUUGCUUUUAGAACAUUUAAAAAAAAUAAGAACAUGAAGCAUUGCUGUAUUUUUGGCUGAUUGGCUAGUGCAGUUUGGUGGGCUCCUGGGAUGGAAUGAAUGUACCAUCACCUUCCAUAUCUGUGGGUUCUGAAGCUGAGGGUUCAACCAGCCCCAGAUGGAAAGUAUUUAGAAAGCAUGUUCUGCUGUUGCUUGAAGUGUACUAUAUAGUUAGGCCCAUGAUGGCUGAAUCUGUACCAAAUACAUACAGAUUUUCUUUUUCAAGUCACUGUUCUCUAAACAAUAGAGUAUGAUGACUAUUUGCAUAGCACUUACAUUGCGUUAGGUAUUGCAGGCCUUGUAGAGAUGGCUCAAAGGGCACAGGAGGAGGCACAUAGAUGAUAUGCAAAUAACACACCAUUUUAUGUAAGGACCUGAGCAUCCACGAUUUUGGUAUUGGGGUCCUGAAACCAAUCCCCUGUGGAUUUGCAGGUUUGAGUCACAAACAGCCCAUGAGCUAUGUGACCUAUGUCAACAGCUCAAUUAUAGUCUAGAUCAGGUUCAAAUGGACCCCCAAAUUUCCUUUUAUGGAUGACUGUGAUCCAAAGGCUCCAGAGGAAAUAGAAAGUCAGUUUCUGGGUUGGGGGCAGCUCUAGGGGAGUAAAGGGACAGUCCCAGGGGUGUGGGCUCCAGAGGAAAGUCAGUAGCAGCUACUCAGCUCCACUGUUAGCACAGAACAAUGGGGACUCCAGGUGUCAGAUCUUUUAAACUUUGAAAAGGAGCUGAAAGUUCAAAAACUAUGUUAUACCCAGAUUUUAAAAUGUUGGUGUAACUAAAACAAAUCCAGGGCAAGUGUAACAAAAUACAUCUUUGGGCCAAAAUCGGCCCUCACAUCACAGUUUGUGACUUCCUUAAUAAUAAAAGUAAGAAAACAUCA
This is a long non-coding RNA of Marmota monax (woodchuck), 6470 nucleotides long. RefSeq lists it as uncharacterized. Lineage: Eukaryota; Metazoa; Chordata; Mammalia; Rodentia; Sciuridae. The transcript is spliced from 2 exons. The record is from RefSeq and is a predicted model, not a curated record.